This 251-nucleotide ribosomal RNA is filed under the name uncultured bacterium. RNAcentral's name for it is "partial 16S ribosomal RNA". It matches the Rfam family "Bacterial small subunit ribosomal RNA", at positions 524 to 773 of the family's 1533-position model. The record is from RNAcentral.
UACGUAGGGGGCUAGCGUUGUCCGGAAUCAUUGGGCGUAAAGCGCGUGUAGGCGGUCCGGUAAGUCCGCUGUGAAAGUCGGGGGCUCAACCCUCGGAUGCCGGUGGAUACUGUCGGGCUUGAGUACGGAAGAGGCGAGUGGAAUUCCUGGUGUAGCGGUGAAAUGCGUAGAUAUCGGGAGGAACACCAGCGGCGAAGGCGGCUUUCUGGACCAAUACUGGACGCUGAGACGCGAAAGCGUGGGGAGCAAAC